RNAcentral lists this ribosomal RNA (371 nucleotides) under uncultured bacterium. Its description in RNAcentral is "bacterial SSU rRNA". It matches the Rfam family "Bacterial small subunit ribosomal RNA", at positions 527 to 896 of the family's 1533-position model. The record is from RNAcentral.
GGGGGGGGCAAGCGUUGUUCGGAAUUACUGGGCGUAAAGGGCUCGUAGGCGGCCAACUAAGUCCGACGUGAAAUCCCAAGGCUUAACCUUGGAACUGCGUCGGAUACUGGAUGGCUUGAAUUCGGGAGAGGGAUGCAGAAUUCCAGGUGUAGCGGUGAAAUGCGUAGAUAUCUGGAGGAAUACCGGUGGCGAAGGCGGCAUCCUGGACCGACAUUGACGCUGAGGAGCGAAAGCUAGGGGAGCAAACGGGAUUAGAUACCCCGGUAGUCCUAGCCCUAAACGAUGAAUGUUUGGUGUGGCGGGUAUCGAUCCCUGCCGUGCCGAAGCUAACGCAUUAAACAUUCCGCCUGGGGAGUACGGUCGCAAGGCUG